GCAUAUCAAUAAGCGGAGGAAAAGAAACCAACAGGGAUUGCCUCAGUAACGGCGAGUGAAGCGGCAACAGCUCAAAUUUGAAAUCUGGCCUCGGCCCGAGUUGUAAUUUGCAGAGGAUGCUUCCGGCGACGUGCCUUCCGAGUCCCCUGGAACGGGGCGCCUGAGAGGGUGAGAGCCCCGUACGGUUGGACGCCGAGCCUGUGUGAAGCUCCUUCGACGAGUCGAGUAGUUUGGGAAUGCUGCUCUAAAUGGGAGGUAAAUUCCUUCUAAAGCUAAAUACCGGCCAGAGACCGAUAGCGCACAAGUAGAGUGAUCGAAAGAUGAAAAGCACUUUGGAAAGAGGGUUAAACAGUACGUGAAAUUGCUGAAAGGGAAGCGCUCGCGACCAGACUCGCGCCGGGCGGAUCAUCCAGCGUUCUCGCUGGUGCACUUCGCCCGGCCCGGGCCAGCAUCGGUUCUAGCGGGGGGACAAAAGCCCGGGAAACGUAGCUCCCUCCGGGGAGUGUUAUAGUCCCUCGCCUAAUAUCCCCGCCGGGACCGAGGACCGCGCCUCGUGCAAGGAUGCUGGCGUAAUGGUCGCCAGCGACCCGUCUUGAAACACGGACCAAGGAGUCGAACAUUCGUGCGAGUGUUUGGGUGGAAACCCCUCACGCGUAAUGAAAGUGAACGGAGGUGGGAGCCUCGGCGCACCAUCGACCGAUCCUGAAGCUUGUCGGAUGGAUUUGAGUGGGAGCAUGACUGUUCGGACCCGAAAGAUGGUGAACUAUGCCUGCGUAGGGUGAAGCCAGAGGAAACUCUGGUGGAGGCUCGCAGCGGUUCUGACGUGCAAAUCGAUCGUCAAACGUGGGCAUGGGGGCGAAAGACUAAUCGAACCAUCUAGUAGCUGGUUUCCGCGA
This 896-nucleotide ribosomal RNA is filed under the name Paralulworthia halima. Its description in RNAcentral is "LSU rRNA". It matches the Rfam family "Eukaryotic large subunit ribosomal RNA", at positions 38 to 963 of the family's 3401-position model. Lineage: Eukaryota; Fungi; Ascomycota; Sordariomycetes; Lulworthiales; Lulworthiaceae. The record is from RNAcentral.